This 461-nucleotide ribosomal RNA is filed under the name uncultured bacterium. RNAcentral's name for it is "partial 16S ribosomal RNA". It matches the Rfam family "Bacterial small subunit ribosomal RNA", at positions 338 to 796 of the family's 1533-position model. The record is from RNAcentral.
CCUACGGGAGGCAGCAGUGAGGAAUAUUGGUCAAUGGACGAGAGUCUGAACCAGCCAAGUAGCGUGAAGGAUGACUGCCCUAUGGGUUGUAAACUUCUUUUAUAUGGGAAUAAAAUGUUCCACGUGUGGGAUUUUGUAUGUACCAUAUGAAUAAGGAUCGGCUAACUCCGUGCCAGCAGCCGCGGUAAUACGGAGGAUCCGAGCGUUAUCCGGAUUUAUUGGGUUUAAAGGGAGCGUAGGUGGAUUGUUAAGUCAGUUGUGAAAGUUUGCGGCUCAACCGUAAAAUUGCAGUUGAAACUGGCAGUCUUGAGUACAGUAGAGGUGGGCGGAAUUCGUGGUGUAGCGGUGAAAUGCUUAGAUAUCACGAAGAACUCCGAUUGCGAAGGCAGUUCACUGGACUGCAACUGACACUGAGGCUCGAAAGUGUGGGUAUCAAACAGGAUUAGAUACCCCAGUAGUUC